This 806-nucleotide ribosomal RNA is filed under the name uncultured bacterium. Its description in RNAcentral is "bacterial SSU rRNA". It matches the Rfam family "Bacterial small subunit ribosomal RNA", at positions 8 to 808 of the family's 1533-position model. The record is from RNAcentral.
AGAGUUUGAUCCUGGCUCAGAUUGAACGCUGGCGGCAGGCUUAACACAUGCAAGUCGAGCGGAGAUAGGUAGCUUGCUACUGAUUCUUAGCGGCGGACGGGUGAGUAAUGCUUAGGAAUCUGCCUAUUAGUGGGGGACAACGUUCCGAAAGGGACGCUAAUACCGCAUACGUCCUACGGGAGAAAGCAGGGGAUCUUCGGACCUUGCGCUAAUAGAUGAGCCUAAGUCGGAUUAGCUAGUUGGUGGGGUAAAGGCCUACCAAGGCGACGAUCUGUAGCGGGUCUGAGAGGAUGAUCCGCACACUGGGACUGAGACACGGCCCAGACUCCUACGGGAGGCAGCAGUGGGGAAUAUUGGACAAUGGGGGGAACCCUGAUCCAGCCAUGCCGCGUGUGUGAAGAAGGCCUUUUGGUUGUAAAGCACUUUAAGCGAGGAGGAGGCUACUUUAGUUAAUACCUAGAGAUAGUGGACGUUACUCGCAGAAUAAGCACCGGCUAACUCUGUGCCAGCAGCCGCGGUAAUACAGAGGGUGCGAGCGUUAAUCGGAUUUACUGGGCGUAAAGCGUGCGUAGGCGGCUUUUUAAGUCGGAUGUGAAAUCCCCGAGCUCAACUUGGGAAUUGCAUUCGAUACUGGGAAGCUAGAGUAUGGGAGAGGAUGGUAGAAUUCCAGGUGUAGCGGUGAAAUGCGUAGAGAUCUGGAGGAAUACCGAUGGCGAAGGCAGCCAUCUGGCCUAAUACUGACGCUGAGGUACGAAAGCAUGGGGAGCAAACAGGAUUAGAUACCCUGGUAGUCCAUGCCGUAAACG